RNAcentral lists this ribosomal RNA (293 nucleotides) under uncultured bacterium. RNAcentral's name for it is "partial 16S ribosomal RNA". It matches the Rfam family "Archaeal small subunit ribosomal RNA", at positions 455 to 747 of the family's 1478-position model. The record is from RNAcentral.
GUGCCAGCCGCCGCGGUAAUACCGGCAGCCCAAGUGAUGGCCGCUGUUAUUGGGCCUAAAGCGUCCGUAGCUGGCCGACCAAGUCUCCCGGGAAAUCCACCCGCCCAACGGGUGGGCGUCCGGUAGAAACUGGCCGGCUUGGAACCGGAAGGCUCAGAGAGUACGUCCGGGGUAGGAGUGAAAUCCCAUAAUCCCGCACGGACCACCGAUGGCGAAAGCACUUCGAGAAAACGGAUCCGACAGUGAGGGACGAAAGCUAAGAUCGCGAACCGGAUUAGAAACCCGGGUAGUCC